CCUCUUCCAACUUGGUUUCAAUCUCCUACAUGUCAUGUCUUGUUGUUGAUUCUUUACUGAUUUGGGGAUUAUUUUUAGGGUUUGCUGUUGGUGCUGAAUUGAAUUGGGGAAGAAAAGCCGCUACCCCGUAUGCCACUGAUUCCAAUCGAAAAGCUGCUAAAUCUGACUGUUGUUUUCUACCCAUGCUCCAAAUUUUUCAUUAGUCGUAAGAUUUAGGACAUGAGGUUAUUUUGUACACACAUAUGAUUCAGUUUCCGGUCAAUUUGUUUGAUGCUAGGAACCAAACUGCCUGUUUAGUUUAAGAUGUGAUAUCCCUACUCUGAAAUCACAGUUUGUGUACCUAGCUAAUUUUAACUUAACUAAUCUAAAUGUUAGGAAGGACCGAUGGUUUCUGCAUAUUAGAGAUUUGUCGCUUGACUGAUAAUAUGCCAUAACGGGAUUAGGAAACCCAAAGAAAUUCUUCAGAGUUCUCUUCUGAAAAUGAAGCAGCAGUAGCAUUUGUGAAGAUGAACGAUGAGGUAAAAUACAACUUCGGGCAUCCGUGCAUAAAUCACAAGCCAAGUCUUGCACGGUAAUAGACAACCCUCGGUUCCAUUAUUUUCCUUAUGCUAACAAUUGUUUUUCUACACAUAAUGAUUUCAGCUGCUUGAUGGAAGAAAUUCGGGAUUAGGAAACCCAAAGAAAUUCUUCAGAGUUCUCUUCUGAAAUGAAGCAGCAAUAGCAUUUGUGAAGAUGAACAAUGAGGUAAAAUACAACUUCGGGCAUCCGUGCAUAAAUCACAAGCCAAGUCUUGCACGGUAACAGACAACCCUCGGUUCCAUUAUUUUCCUUAUGCUAACAAUUGUUCUUCUACACAUAAUGAUUUCAGCUGCUUGAUGGAAGAAAUUAACAUACAUUGAUGCAAACAACGGACACUAUGAUCUACACAGCGAGUCAUUUCUUCUUUCCCUAAGAAAAAUAUCAUUUCUUCAAUCUGGAAUAUGUGAUGUUAAAUUGAGCACUUGAAAUGUGCCAUGGAUUUCAUACAUUUGCAUGGCCACCAAUGCGCAGUUUAAGUUCAAUAUUAUGCCCACUACCAUAGCGGGACACAGAUCUAUCUGUGUAGUUACACUUAGAAUUGUAGAUUCUCUAUACUGGAGUUCAAAUGUUAAAUCCAGUAUUUUAUGUCAUUAGUCUACUUCACGCCACAGCUCUUAAUUUUUCACCCAUAGUCGAUCAUUUAAAUAUUUUCCGUAUCUAUAUUCUACUUUACGGGUUUGGAAAAGAUUUGUAAAAUCUCCACGCGGGUAGUUCAAAAUUAUAUAUUUUUACCCUGGUAUUCAAAAUUAUAUAUUUCUACCCUGGUAUUCAGAAUAUAUAG
RNAcentral lists this long non-coding RNA (1360 nucleotides) under Triticum aestivum (bread wheat). RNAcentral's name for it is "long non-coding RNA (TAES_LNC002933)". The record is from RNAcentral. Lineage: Eukaryota; Viridiplantae; Streptophyta; Magnoliopsida; Poales; Poaceae.